Molecule: unclassified non-coding RNA, 395 nt
Filed under: Hevea brasiliensis (rubber tree)
Lineage: Eukaryota; Viridiplantae; Streptophyta; Magnoliopsida; Malpighiales; Euphorbiaceae
Source: RNAcentral
GUUGCAGCAAGCCCAUCAUCACAUGCACCUACUUAUCCUCCAAAACUAAGUCCCAGGGUGAAUCUUUCUCCUGGUCCUUCUCCACAAAUGUCUUCCUCAAUCUCAUCUUCAUCAUCAUCUCUUGCACCUGGCUUUUCUUACAAGGGGCUCUGCUUGUUCUGGUUAUUUGGAUUGGCAGUAUUUCAAAUCCUUGGUUGGACGUGGUGACUGUCGUGUUCUGGUUUGACAAGAUUUUAACAUCUUCAAAGAAGAAGAGAGGUGUAUACUUAGCAACAAACAACUUUAUUUGAUUAGGAAUUAUAGCAUCAUUUGCCAGUUAGUCUGUGGUUACCAUGGCAAGUCACGGUAACCACACUAUAUGAAGAGAAGAAAUCACAGGUCAAAGCCAAAAGGUG